This 66-nucleotide transfer RNA is filed under the name Tauritermes triceromegas. RNAcentral's name for it is "tRNA-Met". RNAcentral also lists the same sequence under 3 other names. Lineage: Eukaryota; Metazoa; Arthropoda; Insecta; Blattodea; Kalotermitidae. The record is from RNAcentral.
AGAAAAGUAAGCUAAUAAAAGCUAAUGGGUUCAUACCCCAUAUAUAGAGUAAAACUCUCUUCUCUA